This 274-nucleotide ribosomal RNA is filed under the name uncultured bacterium. RNAcentral describes it as "partial 16S ribosomal RNA". It matches the Rfam family "Bacterial small subunit ribosomal RNA", at positions 523 to 796 of the family's 1533-position model. The record is from RNAcentral.
AUACGGAGGGUGCAAGCGUUAUUCGGAAUCACUGGGCGUAAAGGACGCGUAGGCGGGUUGGCAAGUCAGAUGUGAAAUCCUACAGCUUAACUGUAGAACUGCAUUUGAAACUGCUAACCUAGAGUAUGGGAGGGGGAGAUGGAAUUAGUGGUGUAGGGGUAAAAUCCGUAGAUAUUACUAGGAAUACCGAAAGCGAAGGCGAUCUCCUGGAACAUAACUGACGCUAAGGCGUGAAAGCGUGGGGAGCAAACAGGAUUAGAAACCCUGGUAGUCC